This is a long non-coding RNA of Girardinichthys multiradiatus, 1263 nucleotides long. RefSeq lists it as uncharacterized. The transcript is spliced from 3 exons. Lineage: Eukaryota; Metazoa; Chordata; Actinopteri; Cyprinodontiformes; Goodeidae. The record is from RefSeq and is a predicted model, not a curated record.
AAAGACACGCGUUCCCAGCAGGAAGAAAAAAAAACGAAAGAAAAGAAAAAGCCCAGUGUGUUUAUGUUUUUAACCUUUUCUUUCCUCCUUCAGAGAAAUGCACCACUAUCCUCCUCCCCUCCUCCUUUCCUGUUAGUCCUCCCUCCCUCUACCUCACUUUCUCUUCCUCUCUCGCUCUGAUAUUUCGCAUAAAGGAGUCACAUUUCACUGAAGAAGGAAUCAAGGCUUCACUUCUUCUUUCUUCUACCUUAACCGUGCCGUUCCUCUCCCGUGACUUCCUCUGUCUUCCCUCCUCCCCCCUGCUCCCCCCUCUCUCUCUCUCUCUCUCUGUGCCGUCACAUUUUCUCUCCUCCCAUCACUGCAUUGCACUUUGAUUCCCUCUACUUGCUUUGGUUUGCUUCCCAAACUUAUUUUACUUUCCUCUUUGCUCUCAGAUGUAUCUUCUCUCUUGCGCUGCUUGAUGUAAACGACUGCAGUCCUAUUUACUUUUUUGUACUUUUUACAUUUGAAGAAAGAAGUUUUGUUUUUGUGGGGAAAGUUACGUUUUGAAGACUUUUUAAUUUCUUUUUUUCAAAACCAAGAGGGGAAAUCUUUGUCAAUACGAAGUCCCACGCUGGUUUGACGGUGGUUGAAGAUCCAAGAGAGUUAUUUAUUGCAGGCAUUCAGGUGAUCUUUCUGUUUUUUUUCUCCAAUCAACAUCAAUCUGCGCGCAUCUGUUGCUGGAAACCUCGUAUUGAUACCCGUUGCUAUUAUUGCCGGAUGUUACUUAUAGAGCUUAUGGUCAUGCUGAUGAUGGCGAAGGGAUGAAGUCUUUCGGAUGAAAUGAAGCAGAAGUCCCCCUCUUAUUUGUGCUAUUUUCUCCCUCCCACCUCCUUGUUAUUGCCAAAAACAGAAUAACUGCCAGCUUUUGUUACAGAGUCUCUCUAUCUCUCUUUCUCUACCCUUUCAGGCGCAGGGUGUAGCUACCAUUCAGGCUCUUCCUCUGUCUCCCCCCUCUUCCAAAUGUUUCAGUGGAAAUGCAGCCUGUAGACACCUCUCCCUCUGCCCCCCCUUCUCUCUGAUUCUUUGGAGGAGCGUCACCUCCUGCACUAUUUUUUUUUCCUUAGACGGUACAUGUGGGCGGAUUAGAGAGUAAGACUGAAAGGGUGGGAGGACCCUGGUGAAUAGAGAGGCUACUGUUUUUUUUUCCCCAUAUGCCUUCUGAACUUCAUACAUAUAUGUAAAACAGUAAAACAGAAAUAAAAAAACUGAAGGUUGUGAUGA